This 253-nucleotide ribosomal RNA is filed under the name uncultured bacterium. RNAcentral describes it as "partial 16S ribosomal RNA". It matches the Rfam family "Bacterial small subunit ribosomal RNA", at positions 524 to 776 of the family's 1533-position model. The record is from RNAcentral.
UACGUAGGGUGCAAGCGUUGUCCGGAAUUAUUGGGCGUAAAGAGCUCGUAGGCGGUUUGUCGCGUCUGCUGUGAAAACUCAGGGCUUAACCCUGAGCCUGCAGUGGGUACGGGCAGACUAGAGUGUGGUAGGGGAGAUCGGAAUUCCUGGUGUAGCGGUGGAAUGCGCAGAUAUCAGGGGGAACACCGGUGGCGAAGGCGGACCUCUGGGCCAUAACUGACGCUGAGAGACGAAAGCUAGGGGAGCGAAUGGG